AUGAUGUUAGUAAGCACCAGAUUUGUUAUCGGAGUUACUUUUAGCGGUGACUUAUGGAGGCACAAGGUUGUUGUUAGUGAUGGUGGAACUGAUGAUGCCAAAAAAGGGGUGAUGCUUUUACUCUUGCAUUUUCUGAGCUAUCUUGCUGGAAGAUGGUUCAUGGAUCCAUUGUUGAAAGUAACUAUUCACUACAAAAAAGAAGCUUAG
Molecule: non-coding RNA, 207 nt
Organism: Vicia faba (fava bean)
Lineage: Eukaryota; Viridiplantae; Streptophyta; Magnoliopsida; Fabales; Fabaceae
Source: the annotation of a GenBank genome assembly